CGAGUAAGUCAGAUGGUCGCGUUGCCAAUAUUGGCAAUGAGGAAAGUCCGAGCUCCAUAGGGCAGGGUGCUGGGUAAUACCCAGUGGAGGCGACUCUAAGGAAAGUGCAACAGAAAUAUACCGCCUAUAUAGAAGUUGGAGGAUGGAUGCUAGAGGUUAGAUUUAAUCUCUAACGUCCAACUGCUAACCUCUAUUUGGGUAAGGGUGGAAAGGUGAGGUAAGAGCUCACCAGAGGCUAGGCGACUAGUCUGCUCUGUAAACCCCAUCUGGAGCAAGACCAAGUAGGGACUAAAAAAGGUGGCUGCCCGUUGCCGUCCCGGAGGUAGGUCGCAUGAGUCUACUGGCGACAGUAGACCUAGAUAGAUGACUAUCUAAUACAGAACUCGGCUUAUAGACUUGCUCGUUUA
RNAcentral lists this RNase P RNA (407 nucleotides) under Paramaledivibacter caminithermalis DSM 15212. Its description in RNAcentral is "Bacterial RNase P class A". It matches the Rfam family "Bacterial RNase P class A". From Rfam's summary of the family: Ribonuclease P (RNase P) is a ubiquitous endoribonuclease, found in archaea, bacteria and eukarya as well as chloroplasts and mitochondria. Its best characterised activity is the generation of mature 5'-ends of tRNAs by cleaving the 5'-leader elements of precursor-tRNAs. Lineage: Bacteria; Bacillati; Bacillota; Clostridia; Peptostreptococcales; Caminicellaceae. The record is from Rfam by way of RNAcentral.